RNAcentral lists this ribosomal RNA (305 nucleotides) under uncultured bacterium. RNAcentral describes it as "bacterial SSU rRNA". It matches the Rfam family "Bacterial small subunit ribosomal RNA", at positions 338 to 642 of the family's 1533-position model. The record is from RNAcentral.
CCUACGGGGGGCAGCAGUGGGGAAUAUUGCACAAUGGGGGAAACCCUGAUGCAGCGACGCCGCGUGAGUGAAGAAGUAUUUCGGUAUGUAAAGCUCUAUCAGCAGGGAAGAAGUAGCGACCUUUGGGUCGCCAGACGGUACCUGAUUAAGAAGCCCCGGCUAACUACGUGCCAGCAGCCGCGGUAAUACGUAGGGGGCAAGCGUUAUCCGGAUUUACUGGGUGUAAAGGGAGUGCAGGCGGCUUGGCAAGUCUGAUGUGAAAGGCUGGGGCUCAACCCCAGGACUGCAUUGGAAACUGUUAGGCG